GCAAGUCGAACGAGAACGCUCUCUUCGGAGAGUUAGUACAGUGGCGAACGGGUGAGUAACGGGUGGAAAACCUGCCCUUCAAUGGGGGAUAACGGUUCUAACGAACCGCUAAUACCGCAUACGACCUUCUUUUCGCAUGGAAAGUAGGUGAAAGAUGGCCUCUUCUUGAAAGCUGUCGUUGAAGGAUGGUUCCGCCUCCCAUUAGCUAGUUGGUGGGGUAAUGGCCUACCAAGGCGACGAUGGGUAGCCGGCCUGAGAGGGUGUCC
Molecule: ribosomal RNA, 266 nt
Filed under: uncultured bacterium
Lineage: Bacteria
Description: partial 16S ribosomal RNA
Rfam family: Bacterial small subunit ribosomal RNA
Source: RNAcentral